AAUGGGGGAAACCCUGACGCAGCAACGCCGCGUGKRUGAUGAAGGCCUUCGGGUUGUAAARUCCUGUCAAGUGGGAAGAAACCCCCUCGGGUUAUUACCGCGGGGGCUUGACUGUUCCACUGRAGGAAGCCCCGGCUAACUCCGUGCCAGCAGCCGCGGUAAUACGGAGGGGGCAAGCGUUGUUCGGAAUUAUUGGGCGUAAAGGGCGCGUAGGCGGCCUUGUAAGUCGGUUGUGAAAUCCCCGGGCUUAACCCGGGAAUUGCAUUUGAAACUGCCGGGCUUGAGUUCGGGAGAGGGAAGUGGAAUUCCCGGUGUAGCGGUGAAAUGCGUARAUAUUGGGAGGAACACCAGUGGCGAAGGCGGCUCCCUGGACCGAUACUGACGCUGAGGCGCGAAAGCUUGGGGAGCAAACAGGAUUAGAUACCCUGGUAGUCCCCGCCGUAAACGAUGAGAACUAGGUGUAGCGGGUAUUGACCCCUGCUGUGCCGUAGCUAACGCAUUAAGUGCUCCGCCUGGG
Molecule: ribosomal RNA, 517 nt
Filed under: uncultured Acidobacteriota bacterium
Lineage: Bacteria; Pseudomonadati; Acidobacteriota
Description: bacterial SSU rRNA
Rfam family: Bacterial small subunit ribosomal RNA
Source: RNAcentral